UGGGGAAUUUUGGACAAUGGGCGAAAGCCUGAUCCAGCAGCCGCGGUAAUAAUCACUAGUGAAUUCG
RNAcentral lists this ribosomal RNA (67 nucleotides) under uncultured Alteromonas sp. Its description in RNAcentral is "partial 16S ribosomal RNA". The record is from RNAcentral. Lineage: Bacteria; Pseudomonadati; Pseudomonadota; Gammaproteobacteria; Alteromonadales; Alteromonadaceae.